CAGAAACUCAAAGGAAUUGACGGGGGCCCGCACAAGCGGAGGAGCAUGUGGUUUAAUUCGAUGAUACGCGAGGAACCUUACCUGGGCUCGAACGUAAGAUGACUGUAGGUGAAAGCUUACAUCUCUUCGGAGCAUUUUACGAGGUGCUGCAUGGUUGUCGUCAGCUCGUGCCGUGAGGUGUCGGGUUAAGUCCCAUAACGAGCGCAACCCUACCUUUAGUUGCCAUCAGGUAAUGCUGGGGACUCUAAAGGAACUGCCUACGCAAGUAGUGAGGAAGGCGGGGAUGACGUCAAAUCUGCACGGCCCUUACGUCCAGGGCUACACACGUGCUACAAUGGCCGAUACAGAGGGCAGCUACCUGGUGACAGGAUGCAAAUCUCCAAAGUCGGUCUCAGUUCGGAUCGGAGUCUGCAACCCGACUCCGUGAAGUUGGAUUCGCUAGUAAUCGCGCAUCAGCCAUGGCGCGGUGAAUACGUUCCCGGGCCUU
RNAcentral lists this ribosomal RNA (487 nucleotides) under uncultured Sphingobacteriales bacterium. RNAcentral's name for it is "bacterial SSU rRNA". It matches the Rfam family "Bacterial small subunit ribosomal RNA", at positions 894 to 1382 of the family's 1533-position model. The record is from RNAcentral. Lineage: Bacteria; Pseudomonadati; Bacteroidota; Sphingobacteriia; Sphingobacteriales.